Molecule: ribosomal RNA, 254 nt
Filed under: uncultured bacterium
Lineage: Bacteria
Description: partial 16S ribosomal RNA
Rfam family: Bacterial small subunit ribosomal RNA
Source: RNAcentral
UACGAAGGGGGCUAGCGUUGCUCGGAAUUACUGGGCGUAAAGGGCGCGUAGGUGGCCCGGUCAGUUCGUGGUGAAAGCGCGGGGCUCAACCCUGCGUCGGCCAUGAAUACUGCCGCGGCUGGAGCACUGUAGAGGCAGGCGGAAUUCCGGGUGUAGCGGUGGAAUGCGUAGAGAUCCGGAAGAACACCGGUGGCGAAGGCGGCCUGCUGGGCAGUUGCUGACACUGAGGCGCGACAGCGUGGGGAGCAAACAGG